CUGUCAUAUUGACCAUGUUCACUCAAGCAGAGUGGAAGGUCAUUCCACGGGAGUCUACAAGAUUCUUUCUCCAACUGCCAAUAUAGUGCUAAAACUGGGAAAAGGUAUUUCCAUUGGUAACAGCAAUAACCACUUUCUGAAAUACGUUCUAAUCCAAUAAUGUUGAACAUUUCAUGGCAUAGAUUCUUAAAACACUCUGUAUACUUUCUAAGGAAAACAAUCUUAGAUGUACAGUUUGUUUUUUCUGGCAUGGGAUUUUAUAGCAUAAUGAAUUUAUACAAUAUUCAAAUACUACAAAUUUGCGGCCAUUAACACACCGGAAUUCAAGAUUUAAUACUACAAUGGUUGAAUAUAAAUCGAAGGAUGUAUCCAUAGUGCAAAAACUAUCCAUGACAUAGUUUCGAUCACACUUGCUCUUUGGAGACAUUUAGAGUACUCUCCAAGUCUGUCUUUUGUGACUCCUUAAUUGCAUCACUAUUGUCAAUAUCUACAGAUACAUUGGGUAGUUCUGCAAUGUCUUGGUUAAAAAAUCAAAUAGAUCCAAUGGAUCUUCAUUUGAG
This is a non-coding RNA of Pelobates cultripes (western spadefoot toad), 560 nucleotides long. The record is from the annotation of a GenBank genome assembly. NCBI's taxonomy places the organism in Eukaryota, Metazoa, Chordata, Amphibia, Anura, Pelobatidae.